RNAcentral lists this ribosomal RNA (200 nucleotides) under uncultured bacterium. RNAcentral's name for it is "partial 16S ribosomal RNA". It matches the Rfam family "Bacterial small subunit ribosomal RNA", at positions 524 to 723 of the family's 1533-position model. The record is from RNAcentral.
UACGUAGGUGGCAAGCGUUGUCCGGAUUUAUUGGGCGUAAAGAGCUCGUAGGCGGCUUGUUGCGUCAGCUGUGAAAAACCCGCAGCUCAACUGUGGGCUUGCAGCUGAUACGGGCAGGCUAGAGUCGGCAGGGGAGACUGGAAUUCCUGGUGUAGCGGUGAAAUGCGCAGAUAUCAGGAGGAACACCAGUGGCGAAGGCG